Molecule: ribosomal RNA, 253 nt
Filed under: uncultured bacterium
Lineage: Bacteria
Description: partial 16S ribosomal RNA
Rfam family: Bacterial small subunit ribosomal RNA
Source: RNAcentral
UACGAAGGGGGCUAGCGUUGCUCGGAAUGACUGGGCGUAAAGGGCGCGUAGGCGGUUUGUACAGUCAGGUGUGAAAUUCCCGGGCUCAACCUGGGGGCUGCACUUGAUACGUAGGAACUGGAGUGGGGAAGAGGGUCGUGGAAUUCCCAGUGUAGAGGUGAAAUUCGUAGAUAUUGGGAAGAACACCGGUGGCGAAGGCGGCGACCUGGUCCUUGACUGACGCUGAGACGCGAAAGCCAGGGGAGCGAACGGG